CUAAAAAACUAGCCCAACUAUAUUUAACCUAAUAACUGAAACAAACUAAAAUAUUCCACCUCUUUAGUAAAGACGACAAAAAAAUUAAUUGGAGCAAUUUACCUGUACCGUAAGGGAAAGUUGAAAUAAAAUGAAAGUUUAAGCACUAAAUAGUAGAGCUUAUUACUCGUACCUUUUGCAUCAUGGUUUAACUAGUUUAUUCAAGCAAAAAGAAUUGAAGUUUGACCCCCCGAAACCAAGUGAGCUACUCUAGGACAGCCUAUUGGGCAAACCCGUCUCUGUUGCAAAAGAGUGGGAAGAUCUUAAAGUAGCGAUUAUAUUUCUAACGAACUUGGCGAUAGCUGGUUAUUCAGGAAAGGAAUCUUAGUUCUACCUAAAGCUACCUAACACCUUAACCUUAAAACAAAACUUAACUUUAGAGCUAGUCAAAUAUGUUACAGCCUAUUUGAAACAGGAUACAGCCUCCACCCGCGGGUAAUGAUGUUUUCUCUUAACCAAGUGGGCCUAAAAGCAGCCAUCUUUCAAAAAGCGUCAAAGCUUAAUUUUACUCUUCAACAAUCCCACAAUCUCCACAAAACCCCUCAACAGUACUGAAUGAUUUCAUAUCUUUAUGAAACCCCUUAUGUUAAAACUAGUAACAAGAAUAAACCUUCUCUUUUAUACAAGCUUAAAUCAGAACUGAUAUCCUACUGACUUAUAACAAUCCUAAAUCCAAACAACAAAUCACCAAGAAAACCCUGCUAAAACAAUUGUUAAUCUAACUCAAGAGUAUAUAAAGAAAGAUUAAAAGAAAAAGAAGGAACUCGGCAAAUUCUAAUUCCGCCUGUUUACCAAAAACAUCGCCUCCUGCUAACCUAUAGGAGGUCCAGCCUGCCCAGUGACCUAGUUUAACGGCCGCGGUAUCCUAACCGUGCGAAGGUAGCGUAAUCACCUGUUUUUUAAUUGAAGACCUGUAUGAAAGGCAUCACGAGAAUUAAACUGUCUCCUCUUUCCAAUCAGUGAAACUAAUCUCCCCGUGAAAAAGCGGGAAUAUUACCACAAGACGAGAAGACCCUUUGGAGCUUAAGACAAAAUAAUAUUUUGCACUUUUUUAAUACCUAUAUUAACCAGCAUUUACUUACAAGUCUUUGGUUGGGGCAACCGCGGAGUACAAAAUAACCUCCAAGCUGAACGGAACUUUCCUAAACAAAAAGCCACAACUUUACGUAUCAAUAAAUUGACAUAUGACCCAAAUUUUUGAUUAUCGAACCAAGUUACCCUAGGGAUAACAGCGCUAUCCACUUUAAGAGUCCAUAUCGACAAGUGGGCUUACGACCUCGAUGUUGGAUCAAGGUACCCCAGUGGUGCAGACGCUACUAAAGGUUCGUUUGUUCAACGAUUAAAACCUUACGUGAUCUGAGUUCAGACCGGAGAAAUCCAGGUCGGUUUCUAUCUGUGACAGGCUCUUUCCAGUACGAAAGGACAGAAAUAGCACGGCCAAUGAGAUUCUUACGCCGUAAUAAUUAACUUAUGACAUCAUCUUAAUAAACUCACAUUCCACUUAACUUAAAUCAAAGUA
Molecule: ribosomal RNA, 1558 nt
Filed under: Eleutherodactylus lamprotes
Lineage: Eukaryota; Metazoa; Chordata; Amphibia; Anura; Eleutherodactylidae
Description: 16S ribosomal RNA
Rfam family: Bacterial large subunit ribosomal RNA
Source: RNAcentral